This is a long non-coding RNA of Acinonyx jubatus (cheetah), 1589 nucleotides long. RefSeq lists it as uncharacterized. The record is from RefSeq and is a predicted model, not a curated record. The transcript is spliced from 5 exons. Lineage: Eukaryota; Metazoa; Chordata; Mammalia; Carnivora; Felidae.
GGAUCUUCCUGAGGCCCCGGCAGCGGCCUGUCUCGUGUCUGGAACCCUGUGCAGAUCCGACAAGAGACCCCCCGCGGAGGGGGUACUGGUCCCAUGACUGCGGACACACCCGCCAGCGCCAGGUGCGAUCCAGCGACAGGGUUUUCUAAGUGGACUUCCUCCAGGACGGUGAGGAUGGAUGACGCAGCACUAAGAACAUACUAGAACCAGCUGUCACACGGCACACGGCUGGUGACUGGAGCUUCCCCGUCACUCACCUGGGAAGGAGCAGGUCAGGAACCCCCAGUCCUGCAGGUCCUCAGCGCAGGGCACGGCCCCUUGCUCCAGAUGGGAGAUGAGGGGUGGCUUAGGGCAGGCAAGGCCUGCUCGUGGAGAAGGGAAGUCAGUGUGCAUAGCAGAUCACCUCUGUCCCAACACCCGGCCUUGACCCUUCUGCUCACACUGCAGAGGAGAGUGUGAGCAGGGGGGAGAAAAGGGUGUACUUGGGGGGGUCUGCCAAGGUGUAAGCAAGCAUGUAGGGAUGACCUCAGAAAGGUCACGCUCAGAAGGGCAGAGGAGGAGACCCCCGGAAGCAGUCACUUGGUUGUAUUUUCCCCGUUGUGGCUGCGAGGCAAGAGUGAGGGCUCUGACUUUCACUGGGAGGCCCGGAGCCGUCAAUAGACAGCAAGCAAAGAGUAAGGACAGGAGAAAGGACUACGCCAAGCACGGGGUGUCCUCACCAGCCGACAGCAUGUUGCCAUAGUUCUCCAGCAUCACGUCAGUGUACAGGUGCCUCUGGGCGCGGGUCAGACACUGCCACUCUCCGCUACUGAAGCACACGGCCACAUCCUCAAACGUCACCACGUCCUGCAAGGAUAUGCUCCCGCUGACCCGGAGGAAACCCCAGUCCCCAGGAAACAGACACAGAAGAAGGGAUUCUCAGGAGGUUUCUAGAAAUGAAAGGAAGGAUGGAGGGGCCUCAGCUUGCCUGGGCCCCACUCACCGGUGUGGUAUUUGCUCCUGGCCGGUCUCCGUGGCUUCCGUCGUUGGCAAAGGCAGGAUGCUGAGGAGCCCGCAGGGCUGAGGGAAGAGAAAUGAGUCAACCUGGCACGACAAUAAAUACUAAAAGCCUACUUUUGAGGUUCCUGGUGCCUCGUCCUCUGUCCAAAGGUCGGUGCCAUUCAGGGUCUGCCUGUAGGACUCCAGAAUUGCUAAACGCCAGGCCCUGGGUUUACUUCCAGCAGCCACGUCUAUACAGUCUUGUCCACCUUCCUCUGCACAUGUCCCAUCAAAGAGCAUUUCUAAACCCAGCCUCGCAUUUUCCCAAAGCUUCACGACAAGACCUUUGCUCCUUCUUGGCCAGUUGUUUCCAGAUCACUCACUCUGAGGGAGGCCAGCUGUCACAUUGUGAGGAGUGGCCCACGUGGUGAGGAAAUGAAACCCCCGCCAACAGCCAUUUGAAUGAGUUUAGAAGUGCAUCCUCUAGCCCCCAGUGUAGCCAUCAGAUGACUACAGCCCAGGUCACAGACUCAAAGCCAACAGCUGAGCUGCUCUCAGAUUCCUGAUCUGCAGAAACUGUGUGAGGUAAUGAACAUUUGAUGUUUGAUACU